GCGCGAAAACUUUACAAUGCUGGCAACAGCGAUAAGGGGACCUUGAGUGCCAGGAUACAAUCCUGGCUGUCGUGAUGCCUAAAAAGCACUAUAUAGCAAGGGCCGGGCAAGACCGGUGCCAGCCGCCGCGGUAACACCGGCGGCUCGAGUGGUAACCGCUAUUAUUGGGUCUAAAGGGUCUGUAGCCGGCUUGGUUAGUCUCUUGGGAAAUCCGGCAGCUUAACUGUCGGGCUUUCAGGAGAUACUGCCAGGCUCGAGACCGGGAGAGGUGAGAGGUACUUCAUGGGUAGGGGUGAAAUCUUGUAAUCCUUGAAGGACCACCAGUGGCGAAGGCGUCUCACCAGAACGGAUCUGACGGCAAGGGACGAAAGCUAGGGGCACGAACCGGAUUAGAUACCCGGGUAGUCCUAGCCGUAAACGAUACUCGCUAGGUGUCGGCCACGGUGCGACCGUGGUCGGUGCCGUAGGGAAGCCGUGAAGCGAGCCACCUGGGAAGUACGGCCGCAAGGCUGAAACUUAAAGGAAUUGGCGGGGGAGCAC
RNAcentral lists this ribosomal RNA (540 nucleotides) under uncultured archaeon. Its description in RNAcentral is "bacterial SSU rRNA". It matches the Rfam family "Archaeal small subunit ribosomal RNA", at positions 339 to 879 of the family's 1478-position model. The record is from RNAcentral.